Long non-coding RNA from Mesocricetus auratus (golden hamster), 831 nucleotides. RefSeq lists it as uncharacterized. The transcript is spliced from 3 exons. The record is from RefSeq and is a predicted model, not a curated record. NCBI's taxonomy places the organism in Eukaryota, Metazoa, Chordata, Mammalia, Rodentia, Cricetidae.
AGAGAAGGCAGAGGGGGACCGGUGAACAGCAACCUCCACACAAGAGUCAGGGAAGGAGACAAAACUGCCUCAGCCUGGGGUGGGGCAGGUGUGUGCCCAGACAGAGUCAGGGAAGAAAGACCUGAAGCAAGGAAUCCUCAGGUGCCUGCAGAGGCUGCUGGGUCGAAAACAAUGGAACUGGGCGCGUGUCUUGUAAGUGAACCGCCACCAGCUGCUUUUGUUAUCCGUCCAGGUGCUGGCAGGUGGGUCCCAUGGAACUGGAGUUAUAGUUUGUGAACUGCCCAUCAUCAGUGCUGAAGUCUCUGCCAGAGCGACGAUCACCCCUAACUGAACUCCAGUCUCUGCAAGAGCGAGCGACGAUCACCCCGAACCACAGAGUCACCACUCCAGCUCCCCUCAAUUUAUUUUAUAUGGUAUAAGAAGUUCUGUCAAAUUUUUGCUUUUUCCUGGCACAUGGCUUGUGCUAUCAAUAACAUAUUCCAUAUGCCACUGGAUUAAUAAUAAGCCUAUUUAAUCAUAACUAGUUCUCAUGGGAUCUAGAUCUAUUUACGGAUUAUCUAUUUACGGUUUUCUGUCUCUGCCUGUGCCAGUAUGGUAAUGACUUUAUUUAGGUGAACUCAUGUCUUUUGGUAUCUGUUAAAGGCAGACUCCCUUCAUUCUUCACCUAUUCUUUUUCUCUUCAUCCUCCUCCUCCUCCUUUCUAGACAGGCUCUCUCUAAACAGUUGUAGCUGUUCUGGAACUCUCUAUUUAGACUGGGCUGGCCUUGAACUCACAUAGAACUACUUGCCUCUGUAUCCCAAGUUCUGAGAUUAAAGGUGUAUGCCACCAUA